GAGCACUAGGACAAAGGGACUCCAUCAAAGUUUUUCACUGUCCCCAAACUUCAUAUUUACAGUCUAGCAUAGGUCCAAAGAAGUUAUCCAAAUAUAAUACCAGUUGGAAAGUUGCUCAUGUUCUCUCUCUCUCUCUCUCUCUCUCUCUCUCUCUCUCUCUCUCUCCCUCUCUCUCUCUCUCGUAUUUAUAAACUACUGUCAUAAGCUAGAGUCACCAAAAUGUCUCUUUAAAGAGAGAGCAGUCUAACAGUAAUAAAAUAAUUUAGUCUAUUUUUUAUGAAGCAAUAAUAUUUUUGAACAGCCCACUGAAUGCCUUCUAAGUUGCCUGGGUGCCUAAAGGGCUUACAACGUUCUUCCGUGGAGAUAAAUAAGCUGUCAAUUCAUGAUGAGGAAAAUCAAACCCACAGUGUUGAUCUUGGCUGAGAUGCCUGUUCAAGUAUGAGAGAAAUUGUUGCCGAGAUGUAGCUGAGCCCAUGUGUUAGCAGUUAGCACUCCAGUGCCACAAUGAGGCUCUGCUAGUCUUUUCAAAAGAUAAACAUUGCUGUCAAAAUAAGGAAAGGGAAAGAUUAACCCGUUCAGGUACACGUAAAUAAUAAAUGACAUUCCAGCUCCCUGGAGUCCUCACGAAGAAAAGAGCUAAGGUCCAGAGAGUGACUUUUAUUGGCUUACCUGAGUUUCUUUUUCUUGAUACCUUCUGGAGCCAGGGAUGGGAAGGGCAGGAGGACCCUCUAAAGUAAACAUAGCUGAAUGCUCAGUAGAGGGUGAGACUUCAAAGAGGUACAUGCCCAAAGCCCAUUGGUUUGCUGGGGGUUCUUACACUUCUCCAAUGUAACCGUGUGUCUUACACUUCUACAAUGUAACAGUGUCUCUCUGACCCUGAGCACUAAGGCCAUGCAUUUUUGGAGUACUAGCCUAAAUAAGUAAAUGAAAUAAAAU
This 936-nucleotide long non-coding RNA is filed under the name Mus musculus (house mouse). RNAcentral describes it as "long non-coding RNA chr11:44834943-44835879". Lineage: Eukaryota; Metazoa; Chordata; Mammalia; Rodentia; Muridae. The record is from RNAcentral.